CGGACCGGCGCACGGGUGCGUAACGCGUAUGCAACCUACCUUUAACAGGGGGAUAACACUGAGAAAUUGGUACUAAUACCCCAUAAUAUCAUAGAAGGCAUCUUUUAUGGUUGAAAAUUCCGAUGGUUAGAGAUGGGCAUGCGUUGUAUUAGCUAGUUGGUGGGGCAACGGCUCACCAAGGCGACGAUACAUAGGGGGACUGAGAGGUUAACCCCCCACACUGGUACUGAGACACGGUCCAG
Molecule: ribosomal RNA, 242 nt
Filed under: uncultured bacterium
Lineage: Bacteria
Description: partial 16S ribosomal RNA
Rfam family: Bacterial small subunit ribosomal RNA
Source: RNAcentral